This 269-nucleotide ribosomal RNA is filed under the name uncultured Planctomycetales bacterium. RNAcentral describes it as "partial 16S ribosomal RNA". It matches the Rfam family "Bacterial small subunit ribosomal RNA", at positions 565 to 832 of the family's 1533-position model. Lineage: Bacteria; Pseudomonadati; Planctomycetota; Planctomycetia; Planctomycetales. The record is from RNAcentral.
GAGCACGUAGGUGGGUUUGUAAGUCAGAUGUGAAAGCCUUCUGUUCAACGGAAGAAUUGCAUCUGAAACUGCGAGUCUUGAGUGUAGGAGGGGAGAAUGGAACUUCUGGUGGAGCGGUGAAAUGCGUAGAUAUCGGAAGGAACGCCGGCGGCAAAAGCGAUUCUCUGGCCUAUUACUGACACUCAGUGUGCGAAAGCUAGGGGAGCAAACGGGAUUAGAUACCCCGGUAGUCCUAGCCGUAAACGAUGGGCACUAAGUAGAGGGGUUUU